This 343-nucleotide unclassified non-coding RNA is filed under the name soil metagenome. RNAcentral describes it as "partial contains 5.8S ribosomal RNA, internal transcribed spacer 2, and large subunit ribosomal RNA". The stretch from base 1 to 120 matches the Rfam family "5.8S ribosomal RNA", at positions 35 to 154 of the family's 154-position model. The record is from RNAcentral.
GAUGAAGAACGCAGCGAAAUGCGAUAAGUAAUGUGAAUUGCAGAAUCCAGUGAAUCAUCGAAUCUUUGAACGCACAUUGCGCCCGCCAGCAUUCUGGCGGGCAUGCCUGUUCGAGCGUCAUUUCAACCCUCGACCUCCCUUUGGGGAAGUCGGCGUUGGGGACCGGCAGCACACCGCCGGCCCUGAAAUGGAGUGGCGGCCCGUCCGCGGCGACCUCUGCGUAGUAAACCAACUCGCACCGGAACCCCGACGUGGUCACGCCGUAAAACACCCAACUUCUGAACGUUGACCUCGAAUCAGGUAGGACUACCCGCUGAACUUAAGCAUAUCAAUAAGCGGAGGA